Hyla sarda is the source of this 1931-nucleotide long non-coding RNA. RefSeq lists it as uncharacterized. NCBI's taxonomy places the organism in Eukaryota, Metazoa, Chordata, Amphibia, Anura, Hylidae. The transcript has 3 exons. The record is from RefSeq and is a predicted model, not a curated record.
ACUCGUGAGGGAAAUAACCGGAGAUAAUAGAGAGAGAGAACUCCACAUAAUAAUAAUACUAUACAAUAUACUCCACCCCUAGAGGAACCGCGAGGACUCGUGAGGGAAAUGACCGGAGAUAAUAGAGGGAGAGAGAGAACUCCACAUAAUAAUAAUAUACAAUAUACUCCAUCCCUUGGAACCAGGAGGACUUGUGAGGGAAAUAACCUGAGAUAAUAGAGAGAGAGAACUCCACAUAAUAAUACUAUACAAUAUACUCCACCCCUAGAGGAACCGCGAGGACUCAUGAGGAAAAUGACCGGAGAUAAAAGAGAGAGAGAACUCCACAUAAUAAUAAUAAUAAAAGUAUACUCCACCCCUAGAGGAACCGCGAGGACUCGUGAGGGAAACGACCGACUGGAGACUCCAUCACAUAAUAAAUCCUUCAAAUAACUAAAAAUUAAUAUACAAUGGUGCGAAAUAUACUCCACCCCUAGAGGACACGCGUAAUGCAUAGCGACGUACACAUAAGUUGCGGUGUUCUGUGCUCACCCGACACAGUGAUCAGAACAAGCGAUUUGGGGUACUCACUGGACUACCGGCAGUUAGAUUAUGGGGGUCCAAUGGGUCAAGAUGGCGGCUGGAGGUCCCCUCACCUGUUUCAUUGGGCUCCAGCGAUCUUCUCAUAUGGUCUGCCAGACUGUACAUAUAGAUUACCGAUUGAACUGAAAUCAGACACUUAUCCCCUAUUCUAUGGAUUGGUGGUACCCCUUUAAUGAUCCUGUGCUCUGAACAGCGUAAACAUAAAAAAGGAAAACAAGGUCCAGAUUACUGAUUUUUGGUCACUUCAUAUACCAGGAACAAAGUAAAAAGUCUGGAAAUUCCUCACUACCGAGUAGGCUGUUCCUCACGUGUACAGCCAAUCAGACACUGAGGCAGGAUACCGCUGCGGCAGCCGAUUAGCUGAGCUUGCAGUGCACGGACCGACCACCAGGAGAACAGCAGAAGGAGCGAGGAAGGUGUGAUUUUUAUAUUUCCCACACCUGUUACUUGCCCCUGGUAAGGUUCCUGAGUAACUUGGAAGAUGUACACAGAAGGAAAAACUUCCAAAAAGGAGCAGAAGACCCUGAAAAGGAGCGUCCCGAAACCCAGAGCGGCUGACAUGGGAAUCGGAGGUCCCUGCGUCUCCUGGAAGACUCACACCUGAAGGGUUAUGUAAACCCACUGGCCAACAAACGCUCCGGGAGACAAACUUCCGUGUUGAGACAAGAAGAAGUGCGGAACAGAAAGACCGCCCCACACAGAGAAGUCUGGGCAGGAUCUCUACACAUGCCCAAGACCUCAACCAUCACUAAGGCCUAAAGAACCAGAAGGACCGACCUAGAAAAGAAGGCAUGCUACAGCAUACUGGGAUAGUGUCCAAGACAAGGAGACUAACCAGACAUGGACCCCAGCAGGACCCCAGUCAGGACGGGAAACAAAUGGGAAGGUAACUCAAGAAGACCGUAGUGUCAGUGUAGUGCAGCCAGGGCCGCCAUCAGGGGGGUACAGCCCAUACUCCUGUAAGGGGCCCGGAGCUUCAGGGCCCUGUCCUUUUUUUUUUUGCUUGUCAGUGAGUGACUGUGUCUAUCACUCACUGACCGCUGGGGGCCCGCCACUGUACACUGCAUGCUGAUUGAUUGGCUGACCGUAUGUAGUCACCCAAUCAGUCAGAAUGCAGCAGCAGCAGCGCCUCUGCACAUACCUCCGGGGACACACAAUUCUUCACUGCCUCUUUAACCCCUUAAUGACAGAGGAUUUUUCCAUUUUUGCAUUUUCGUUUUUUGCUCCUUGCCUUUAAAAAAUCAUAACUUUCAAUUUUGCACCUAAAAAUCCAUAUGAUGCUUAUUUUUUGCGCCACCAAUUCUACUUUGUAAUGACGUCAGUCAUUUUGCCCAAAAAUCUACGGUGAA